GCAAUGGGAAGGAGUAUUUUAACGAAAUCAUCAUCUGAGAGGAUGAGCUCAAACGUGUUUCAGCUUCUGGAUUGUCAUCUGUGAGGAGACUUAAGCCUCUGCCAAGUAUUUGCCCACACAGAGUCAUUGCUUUUAGGGGAAUAAAACAAGUGGAUGAGAGGUUUCCACCAGCCAGACACCUCUGUGGCAUAGUGGCAUCUAAGCAGGACUUCUUACUCCUGGUGUUAGGUUUGUGUCUGAAACAGUUGCUAGAAUAUUAAGUUUUGGAGUUUUCUGAAUGGUAUCUUUUGCUCUUGCAGGCUGGUUAAAACCCUGAAGUAGGCUUUUGAAGAAGUCUUUUUGACCUGGUGUAUGAAGGCCUGUAGUCCAAUAUCUGUCCCUCACCAUUGCUAGUGCCAGAUGUUUUAGAGGAAGGUACAAGUAACUGCAGCAGUCUGCUAUGACAUAACCUGUUUGCAGGAAAAGCAACCCCAUUGAUUAGUGGUUUGAUUAAUCCCCAAAGUAUAAGAUUUUAUAGCUCUGCAAAGCGCUUUUUUCUUUUGUUUCUUUUGCUGUCGUAAUUCCUAACCUUCUUGUUAUUCUUGUACAUGUUCAUUGCACUGGGGAAUUUGGUGACAUUUUCUCACACAGGGCGUGCACAAUGGAAACAAAAGUACCCAGAAAUUGUGACAGCUGCACAUCAACCAAAUACCCAUUCUACCCAGGAUUUGUCACAUGCUGUUUCAUUGGAUAAUUUCCACCAGUUCUAUAAUGAAGCUAUUCAAAAGAGGCUAAACAGGCAAAGUACUUAAACGACGAUGUUCCAAAUGGCAGUCACUUCAGAGGCAGGCACUGGUACAUGCCAUGUGCUUUUUGACACAUCUUCGUUCUUCAGUACUGAAGUGCAUUCAAGCUUCACAUUUAAACUGGAUUAACCAGUUUUCUGAAGUGAUCGGUGUCAACCUUUGGACAGCAACAUACUUGGAUGAAAAUGAAUGGCCAGUUCAGGGAAGCCAGUGGAAGUCUGGCCAUCAUUCUCCAUGGGAAAAAAUCACAGCCAGAAGUGGAAAAACACCUGCACUGAGCCCAGCCAUUGACAGUUGCCAGUCUGAAGGAUUCCAGUCAAAAACGAAAAGCCGCAGCCAACAUCCUGUACUUUUUGGUCAGACUUUUCAUGUGAACUGCAUUGGGUCUACUGAUUUAACACAGAAGGAUCUGUAUUCUACCAGAUAGUCACUGAGCAACCGUCACGUGCAAAACAUAGAAGCAAAAGUGGGUCUCACUGGCCUCCAUUUCGCUAGGAAGGGGUCUACACUUCACUGCUGGGUCACUUCUGCCACUGUCCUCUUCUGAGUGCCAUUGGGCGCUAUGGCUGCUUUGUCAGGAUGUAGCUGCUCACAAAGGUUGGAGUUGGGUGGCAUGUAGAUACGUGGUGGGAAAAAGACUGGUUUCUGAUUAUGCUGUCUGUAAGGCAAAACUAAAUAAACAGUCAUUUUUACUUGUCA
RNAcentral lists this long non-coding RNA (1484 nucleotides) under Apteryx owenii (little spotted kiwi). RNAcentral describes it as "lncRNA (ENSAOWG00000007402.1)". Lineage: Eukaryota; Metazoa; Chordata; Aves; Apterygiformes; Apterygidae. The record is from RNAcentral.